GUUACACCUGACGUGAUGAUGUUACACCUGACGUGAUGAGGUUACUCCUGACGUGAUGAUGUUACUCCUGACGUUACCUGGAUAAGCCAGGUACCCCGCUUCGUGGUACAGGCCUCUGGUCUCUUAUUUUGAAAGGCCCGAACACGUCCCGGUUCCUCCGGGGUCCGGUGCCGGACUUUAAAGGAGCCCCAGCUGAGGGCCGCGUGAUGAAACCCAGGACAGAGCUGAAGUUCGGACUCACCGGACCCAUGCUGGACCUAUGCUGGACCUAUGCUGGACCUCCGGACCUCCGAGUAGAAGUUUGUUUCGGUGGAGAAGCUGCAGUUUGUCGCCCCACGCGCGCUGAUCAGGGAAGCGGGUUCACGUCGGUAACCCGGAAACGAACCCCUCCUCUGCAGAACAGCGCCCCCAGCGGCGGGAGGGCAACGCGCACAAAACAGUCUUCUUCUUCUUCUUCUUCUUCUUCUUCUUCUUUAUGGCACACAACGAGAUGGUGCAUUAGCGCCACACACAUGAAUACACAAGAAUAAAACUCAGAUCCUCUCAGUCACAUUGAUUCCUCUAAGAUAAUUAAAUUCCAUAGCACUUCU
This is a long non-coding RNA of Micropterus dolomieu (smallmouth bass), 590 nucleotides long. RefSeq lists it as uncharacterized. NCBI's taxonomy places the organism in Eukaryota, Metazoa, Chordata, Actinopteri, Centrarchiformes, Centrarchidae. The transcript is spliced from 2 exons. The record is from RefSeq and is a predicted model, not a curated record.